GAUCCUGGCUCAGGAUGAACGCUAGCGACAGGCUUAACACAUGCAAGUCGAGGGGCAGCAUAAAAGUAGCAAUACUUGGUGGCGACCGGCGCACGGGUGAGUAACGCGUAUGCAACCUACCUAUCAGAGGGGAAUAACCCGGCGAAAGUCGGACUAAUACCGCAUAAAACAGGGACACCGCAUGGUGAUAUUUGUUAAAGAAAUUCGCUGAUAGAUGGGCAUGCGUUCCAUUAGGUAGUUGGUGAGGUAACGGCUCACCAAGCCGACGAUGGAUAGGGGAACUGAGAGGUUGGUCCCCCACACUGGUACUGAGACACGGACCAGACUCCUACGGGAGGCAGCAGUGAGGAAUAUUGGUCAAUGGGCGAGAGCCUGAACCAGCCAAGUCGCGUGAAGGAAAGAAGGAUCUAUGGUUCGUAAACUUCUUUUGCAGGGGAAUAAAGUGCAGGACGUGUCCUGUUUUGUAUGUACCCUGAGAAUAAGGAUCGGCUAACUCCGUGCCAGCAGCAGC
Molecule: ribosomal RNA, 511 nt
Filed under: uncultured bacterium
Lineage: Bacteria
Description: bacterial SSU rRNA
Rfam family: Bacterial small subunit ribosomal RNA
Source: RNAcentral